UACGUAGGGUGCAAGCGUUAAUCGGAAUUACUGGGCGUAAAGCGUGCGCAGGCGGCUUUGCAAGACAGAUGUGAAAUCCCCGGGCUCAACCUGGGAACUGCAUUUGUGACUGCAUGGCUGGAGUGCGGCAGAGGGGGAUGGAAUUCCGCGUGUAGCAGUGAAAUGCGUAGAUAUGCGGAGGAACACCGAUGGCGAAGGCAAUCCCCUGGGCCUGCACUGACGCUGAUGCACGAAAGCGUGGGGAGCAAACAGG
This 253-nucleotide ribosomal RNA is filed under the name uncultured bacterium. RNAcentral describes it as "partial 16S ribosomal RNA". It matches the Rfam family "Bacterial small subunit ribosomal RNA", at positions 524 to 776 of the family's 1533-position model. The record is from RNAcentral.